Molecule: ribosomal RNA, 465 nt
Filed under: Vreelandella stevensii
Lineage: Bacteria; Pseudomonadati; Pseudomonadota; Gammaproteobacteria; Oceanospirillales; Halomonadaceae
Description: partial 16S ribosomal RNA
Rfam family: Bacterial small subunit ribosomal RNA
Source: RNAcentral
CCUACGGGUGGCUGCAGUGGGGAAUAUUGGACAAUGGGGGCAACCCUGAUCCAGCCAUGCCGCGUGUGUGAAGAAGGCCCUCGGGUUGUAAAGCACUUUCAGUGAGGAAGAACGCCUGGUGGUUAAUACCCAUCAGGAAAGACAUCACUCACAGACGAAGCACCGGCUAACUCCGUGCCAGCAGCCGCGGUAAUACGGAGGGUGCGAGCGUUAAUCGGAAUUACUGGGCGUAAAGCGCGCGUAGGUGGCUUGAUAAGCCGGUUGUGAAAGCCCCGGGCUCAACCUGGGAACGGCAUCCGGAACUGUCAAGCUAGAGUGCAGGAGAGGAAGGUAGAAUUCCCGGUGUAGCGGUGAAAUGCGUAGAGAUCGGGAGGAAUACCAGUGGCGAAGGCGGCCUUCUGGACUGACACUGACACUGAGGUGCGAAAGCGUGGGUAGCAAACAGGAUUAGAUACCCUAGUAGUC